RNAcentral lists this long non-coding RNA (760 nucleotides) under Olea europaea subsp. europaea. Lineage: Eukaryota; Viridiplantae; Streptophyta; Magnoliopsida; Lamiales; Oleaceae. The record is from RNAcentral.
AUUUGUUACAAUUUCUUGAUGCAGGUUGCUUUGAGGAAUUUACAAAAUUUUAGUAUCCCUGGAAGUGAAAUCCCGGAUUGGUUUACUCGAGAUGAGGUUUGCUUUUCCAAAAAGAAAUAUGAUGCGAUAAAGAGCGUGAUUAUAGCUGUUGUCAUCUCUAACAACCCUCAAAUCGAGCAUGAUUCAAGAUAUGAUGGGUUGCCUGUAAUAUAUGAAGUCCAAGCAAAGAUCCUGAGAGCAAACAUAGCAGUUUUCACCCAUACAAUGAACUUGAGAGGUAUCCCUUCUACGGAGGAAGAUCAGCUUUUUUUGUGCAGAUAUCCGGAUUUUACUCAUUUAGUUUUGUUACUACAAGACGGUGAUAAAAUACAGGUAGAAAGGCGCAAUCCUCCUUAUGAUCAUAGAAUUAUGUUGAAGAAAUGUGGGAUUCAUCUAGUUUAUGAGAAUGAUGAUGAUUAUGAUGGUGAAGAAGAAUCUUUGAGCGAAAAUUUACACACCAUUUCACACAGAUUAACAAGGUUUGUCGACUUUCCUGAGGAGCACAAGGGUAUCUCAAACUCUCUUCGAGGAGAUAAGAGGACAGGAAGGAAAUGGAUUACAUUGCCUGGAGUGUGUAUCUGGCAUUUUAAGGAUCCUUUCGGCAAAUUUGUUUUCUUUUACUGGACUCAAUGCAGGAAACUAGUGAAGCUGCUCCUUUUUUUCUUUUUUCUUUUUUUCUUUUUCUUUUUCUUUUUAUUUUGACAUUACUAAGAAAUUGUUG